GGGUUGUGAGGUUAAGCGACUAAGCGUACACGGUGGAUGCCCUGGCAGUCAGAGGCGAUGAAGGACGUGCUAAUCUGCGAAAAGCGUCGGUAAGGUGAUAUGAACCGUUAUAACCGGCGAUGUCCGAAUGGGGAAACCCAGUGUGAUUCGUCACACUAUCGUUAACUGAAUACAUAGGUUAACGAGGCGAACCGGGGGAACUGAAACAUCUAAGUACCCCGAGGAAAAGAAAUCAACCGAGAUUCCCCCAGUAGCGGCGAGCGAACGGGGAGCAGCCCAGAGUCUGAAUCAGCUUGUGUGUUAGUGGAACGGUCUGGAAAGUCCGACGGUACAGGGUGAUAGUCCCGUACACCAAAAUGCACAGGUUGUGAACUCGAAGAGUAGGGCGGGACACGUGGUAUCCUGUCUGAAUAUGGGGGGACCAUCCUCCAAGGCUAAAUACUCCUGACUGACCGAUAGUGAACCAGUACCGUGAGGGAAAGGCGAAAAGAACCCCGGCGAGGGGAGUGAAAAAGAACCUGAAACCGUGUACGUACAAGCAGUGGGAGCACCUUCGGGUGUGACUGCGUACCUUUUGUACAAUGGGUCAGCGACUUUGAUCUUGGAGCAGGGUUAACGGUAUAGGGAAA
RNAcentral lists this ribosomal RNA (629 nucleotides) under Klebsiella pneumoniae. RNAcentral's name for it is "bacterial LSU rRNA". It matches the Rfam family "Bacterial large subunit ribosomal RNA", at positions 1 to 665 of the family's 2925-position model. Lineage: Bacteria; Pseudomonadati; Pseudomonadota; Gammaproteobacteria; Enterobacterales; Enterobacteriaceae. The record is from RNAcentral.